This 339-nucleotide ribosomal RNA is filed under the name Triticum aestivum (bread wheat). Its description in RNAcentral is "partial small subunit ribosomal RNA". The record is from RNAcentral. Lineage: Eukaryota; Viridiplantae; Streptophyta; Magnoliopsida; Poales; Poaceae.
AUGGCUUUAUCGUUGCCUGGCAGUUCCAUCGGCUUGACAUCGAGUCGUGUGUUUCAUUGUGGGACUGAUUUUCUUCUAGCAUCUUCAAGUCACGGUGAUGACCGUCUAAUUCUUUGGUGUGUGCUUGGGCCGGUUGGACUUCUUUUGUUUAUAUAUGGGUUGAGGUGGCUGGGUUAUCUGGCCAAGACCGUAUGGAAAUCUAAGACUUGUCUUGUUUACAUGUGUCCCUUUUGGAAAUUUCAUUACACGUGCAUUGGUUGCUAUUCUUUUGUACGUUUGCAUGUUGGACUUCUAUUUUUGUUAUCCGUGUUAUUCACCUCAGCGUUGGUUGCCCCGUGA